GACGCACGCUGGCGGCGUGCUUAACACAUGCAAGUCGAACGGAAAGGCCCUGCUUUUGUGGGGUGCUCGAGUGGCGAACGGGUGAGUAACACGUGAGUAACCUGCCCUUGACUUUGGGAUAACUUCAGGAAACUGGGGCUAAUACCGGAUAGGAGCUCCUGCUGCCUGGUGGGGGUUGGAAAGUUUCGGCGGUUGGGGAUGGACUCGCGGCUUAUCAGCUUGUUGGUGGGGUAGUGGCUUACCAAGGCUUUGACGGGUAGCCGGCCUGAGAGGGUGACCGGCCACAUUGGGACUGAGAUACGGCCCAGACUCCUACGGGAGGCAGCAGUGGGGAAUAUUGCACAAUGGGCGGAAGCCUGAUGCAGCAACGCCGCGUGCGGGAUGACGGCCUUCGGGUUGUAAACCGCUUUCGCCUGUGACGAAGCGUGAGUGACGGUAAUGGGUAAAGAAGCACCGGCUAACUACGUG
Molecule: ribosomal RNA, 468 nt
Filed under: uncultured bacterium
Lineage: Bacteria
Description: partial 16S ribosomal RNA
Rfam family: Bacterial small subunit ribosomal RNA
Source: RNAcentral